AUUGAACGCUGGCGGCAGGCUUAACACAUGCAAGUCGAGCGAGCGGCGGACGGGUGAGUAAUGUCUGGGCACCUGCCUGAUGGAGGGGGAUAACUACUGUAAACGGUAGCUAAUACCGCAUACCAUCAGAUGUGCCCUCCUGGGAUGAGCUAGUCGGUGGGGUAAUGGCUCACCUAGGCGACGAUCCCUAGCUGGUCUGAGAGGUUGACCGGCCACACUGGAACUGAGACACGGUCCAGACUCCUACGGGAGGCAGCAGUGGGGAAUAUUGCACAAUGGGCGAAAGCCUGAUGCAGCAAUGCCGCGUGUGUGAAGAAGGCCUUCGGGUUGUAAAGCACUUUCAGCGAGGAGGCGGUACUCGAAGAAGAAGCACCGGCUAACUCCGUGCCAGCAGCCGCGGUAAUAC
This 406-nucleotide ribosomal RNA is filed under the name uncultured bacterium. Its description in RNAcentral is "partial 16S ribosomal RNA". It matches the Rfam family "Bacterial small subunit ribosomal RNA", at positions 30 to 526 of the family's 1533-position model. The record is from RNAcentral.